Molecule: ribosomal RNA, 395 nt
Filed under: uncultured bacterium
Lineage: Bacteria
Description: partial 16S ribosomal RNA
Rfam family: Bacterial small subunit ribosomal RNA
Source: RNAcentral
GACGAACGCUGGCGGCGUGCCUAACACAUGCAAGUCGAGCGGAGUAUAUUUUUCGAAAUAUGCUUAGCGGCGGACGGGUGAGUAACGCGUGAACAAUCUGCCCUAUACAGAGGAAUAACCUCGGGAAACCGGGAAUAAAACCACAUAACACUUUAGUAUCGCAUGGUACAGAAGUCAAAUUGAAUAAGAGGUAUAGGAUGAGUUCGCGUCUGAUUAGCUAGUUGGGGGGGUAACGGCCCACCAAGGCGACGAUCAGUAGGGGGCGUGAGAGCGUGGCCCCCCACACGGGUACUGAGACACGGACCCGACUCUACGGGAGGCAGCAGUAAGGAAUAUUGGUCAAUGGGGGCGAACCCUGAUCCAGCCAUGCCGCGUGUGUGAAGAAGGCCUCGGUU